This 428-nucleotide ribosomal RNA is filed under the name uncultured bacterium. RNAcentral's name for it is "bacterial SSU rRNA". It matches the Rfam family "Bacterial small subunit ribosomal RNA", at positions 355 to 776 of the family's 1533-position model. The record is from RNAcentral. RNAcentral also lists the same sequence under 1 other name.
UAGGGAAUUUUCGGCAAUGGGCGAAAGCCUGACCGAGCAACGCCGCGUGAGUGAUGAAGGCCUUCGGGUUGUAAAGCUCUGUUGUUAGGGAAGAAUGAUCAGGAUAGGAAAUGAUCUUGAAGUGACGGUACCUAACCAGAAAGCCACGGCUAACUACGUGCCAGCAGCCGCGGUAAUACGUAGGUGGCAAGCGUUAUCCGGAAUUAUUGGGCGUAAAGGGUGCGUAGGCGGUUUCUUAAGUCUUAUGUGAAAUCUCAGAGCUUAACUCUGGGCUGCAUAAGAAACUAUUAGACUAGAGUGCAGGAGAGGGCAACGGAAUUCCAUGUGUAGCGGUAAAAUGCGUAGAUAUAUGGAGGAACACCGGUGGCGAAGGCGGUUGCCUGGCCUGUUACUGACGCUGAAGCACGAAAGCGUGGGGAGCAAAUAGG